RNAcentral lists this long non-coding RNA (5231 nucleotides) under Sus scrofa (pig). Its description in RNAcentral is "lncRNA (ENSSSCG00000056991.1)". The record is from RNAcentral. Lineage: Eukaryota; Metazoa; Chordata; Mammalia; Artiodactyla; Suidae.
UUUUUUUUUUUUUUUUGAUGUGUUUGUGGGAGAGGGUGAGCCUGUCCUCUUACUCUUCUGCCAUCUUGCCUGAGGUCUCGGCUACUGGAUGUGAUUUUCAAACACUGAGAUCAUUUUUGAUUUUCUGAAAUUGCUAUAUGCACAAAGUUUAUAUUCUAAAUUGUUUGAAAUAUAGCUGAUAAUUCUGGUAUUGGCAACCUGGAUUUUAGAGAGGCACUCUACCCAUCAUAGUGAGUAAUAAAUGUCAAUAGUUAGUAUUGCAGUUUAUGAGUACCUAAAAUUUUGCAAGGUAUAAAUAGGUUUAAAUGUAUUAUAUUUAUAUUCUAAAAUAAUACUUUUGCUAAUAUCCAAUUUAUAAUCAUGAGUUGAUUUAGACAUUCACUAAAAAUGACCUUUUAAGCUUAGCGAGAAAGAAAAACCAUUUGCGGUUUUGAUAAAUUUGUAAUUUCUCAAAAGAAAACAUCUGAAUUUUUUUUUUUUUUUUUUGGUGUGUGUGUGUCUGGUUAAAUUGGUGAUUUACCUUCCAAUGUAAACACUUUUUUAGUCAACAAUCCCUCUCCACCAAACAAUAAUAAUCUUCCAAGUUAAAUUUUUUAAUAUGGGAAAUGAAUAUCACCUUGGAUAUUAAAUCCUUAUCAUGCUAAAGUUUAGAGUCUGUCUUUCAUUAAUGAUCUUUAGAAUUUUCGCUUCACUAUUGUGGAACUAUCUUUACUGUUGUCUAAUUCCUGCGUGUAUAUAUUCUCCUUGCCAAGAGGGAGAGAUCUCUUUUUGGUCAGGGGCUACUGCUAGCAGAGUAGGAGGCUAAUUUUCUCAUGCUUGAGCAAAAUGAAAGUUCUUAGUGAAGAUAAUUAGGCUUUACUUUCAGGAUGGAAAGACAUGAUAGUAGGUGAAGGGGGGAGGAUUAAAAAAGAGAUUCAUACUACAUAAUGCAAUUGUGUAGACCAGAAGUGACAAGGACAUGGUUCCCUAGAAUUUGAAUUAAGAAAAACAUGGCUUUUAAUUGCCAGCACCUUUAGGUUGGCAUCUAAUGAGAAUAUUUCAAACUAGGCAGGGUGUUCGGUAUUUCAAAGUAAUGCAAUGCUAAGCAUUAAAGCCAGAGGUUAGUCACUUGUUCUACAUGACUGUCCACUUGAACCUGACUGCCUUUGAAUUUCCUAUCAGUUUCAUAAACAGGAGCUCAGCCAAAAAUGGGCCCAGGAGAUGCCACCAUGCCCAGGUGUGCUGGUGAAGAGGAGACACAUGUCACAUCCUCAACUUACCAGGGAGGGAUACUUAUGUGACCUCUUUGGCUCCCCUUCUGAGAUAGAAAAAAAAGAUCUGUCUGUGAAAAAAAGAGCUCCUGUAUUUUCUUUUCUUUCUGUCACAUCUGUGCCUGUGAUUUCUGCCAUGGCUUGCUGUGUGUGUAUUUCCUUUCUCCAUUGCUCAGUGUCAGUUUGGUUGUAAGUCCCAGAAAGUCUUAAUGGUUUUCAAUGAAGCUAGCUUUUGCCCCUUUUCAAAAUAGCCUUUUGGCUAAAUAGGGGGUUAACAGCCUUGCCACAGAAGGUGAUUGCAAAUUCUGUCAGGUGAGAGACCACUGCAUUUAGGUGAUGAAGAGUAAGUGAAAAUCAUUACCCAGAAGGGACUGAGGUCUUCACUGGUACAGACUGAUGAGAAAAGUUUAGGGCUGGGCUCUGGAGCCACUCUUUUGGGCCAUUGAAUCCCUUGCAUAUGGAUGAGCAGUGAAAGUUUCAUGACCACUCCUGGGCAGACAGGUUCCAUUUGGUGGGUUUUGGGGUCAGUAUAGGGUUGGGGGUAUGAAUGUGGUCCUUCCAGCAUCUUCUGAAUUCCUCUUUCCUCUUAGCUGACAUCAAUGGUACAUAUUCCAAAAUUUGGCAGUGGAAUGUGUGUGGGAAACAGGCAGUUGUCCAUAAGACUUCACCUUAGUGUAGUCUAUGUAAUAAACCAGAUUUUUAAAUGAAUAUUCAUUCUAAAUUUUUAAAAUUAUUUUUUUCCAUUAUAGUUGGUUUACAGUGUCCUGUCCUAGUUUUUAUGAUAUUUUAACCUGUGUUUUCCUUUUCAAGGCAGCUAAAUAGCUAGAAAAUCUGUGAGAAAAUCAAUCAUUCAAUCUGUCAAAAAUAAAAACAAAAAAAUCAUACUUCUAUACUUUGUGGCAAAUACAUAGUGAAUCCAGUACCAUAUGCCUGUAACUUUUAUGUUCUGUUAGGAGUUAUGUGCAACUUAUAAAAUAAGGGCAAGGGAAAACAAUUAUUCAUUCCUAAACUUUUUUCACUGGUAUAUUUCACAAAAUGUUUCCCUAAUUCUUAUGUCUAAUAGCUGCUAUUAAAACAUAGUUUAAAUGCACAAAACGGAUAUACUGAAAAAGAAAAAAUGUUAACAUGCCGUAUAUAUUUAGCAUUUAUAUAUUUUUAUUUCUCUGUAAAUAAUUCUGGGAUUAUUACAAUGGUAAGGUUGAAACUAGUCUUUUUUUUUUUUUUUUUUCAUUCUCCCUACUCUUCCUUCUUUUCUUAACCUAAGUAUCAUUCUUGAUUCCUCUGAUUUUCUUUCUCUAGUAUUUUCUAGUUCAUUUUGUUCUUUUUACUUUGAUUUUUCUAUAUUCUUUCCUUUCCUCUUUUUCAUUUUCUAACUUCUUUUUCCUGUUCUUUCUUGCUGCCUUUCUUUCUCCUUUGUUGUAUCUUAAAAGAAUAAAGAAAUAAAAUUUGUCCACCAGAGGGCAGUCUAAUUCCACACACACACACACACACACACACACACACACACACACACACACACACACACACACCACCCCCACCCCCACCCACCCACCCAUACAUACCCCCACACACUUUUUCUCCCUCUCUCAUUCUCUUCCUCUCUCUCUCUCCUUCUCUUCUUUUACAACCCUCUUCCAGGAGGAAUGUGAAUGAAAGUAGGUGGUAAACAAAACAAACCCCCAAAACCCUUUUUUGUUUAUAAACACCUUUCAUUAUUGCUUACGCAUGGUCCUGUAGUCCCAGUGGUUUGAUUUGUGAAUACUCAAUCUUCUCUAGGUUUCUCUAGGUUUCUAUAGAACCUUUCUGAAGGAGACAAUAAAAUGACUUGGGUUUGUUUCAGAAGCUACCAAAAUACAUGAAAACGAAAAUAUGGGCUGUGUGAUUUUGAGUGUAUAAGACAUGAAGCGUCAGUAGACUCAUUUAUGGAAUUCCUGUAAAAUACAUGUGACUCCAGCAUUUAAGAAUUUUACACUUUCAUUUAAAAACUUUAUAAGCGAAGUUUUAAUUUUUCUGUAUUACUGCAAUCAUCUGGGCUUCAGUUUACUUCUCUAUAUAUACAAAUACUUUUCACUAUAACCCUUACAAAAUUUCUGUAUGUUCCCUAUGUGAGUGGGAGGUCAGUGUCCAAAAAGAAAGAGCUUGAGCUUUCCCUCAUCUUUGUCACCUGAAAGUCCAACUUAGCCUGCCUCAGAGGUUUGGGUGAAGAAAGGAAUUUUCUUCAUAGAAGUUUGGUGACUUUUGACUUGAGAUGUGCAGAGGUCUGAGAGGAAGUCUAAGUUUAUUAUCUAAAGUAAUGACAGAGAAAAUGAUGGACUACAAGAAUAUUCUGAAAAAAGAGGGGUGCCUGAGCAACCCAUUCAAAGGCUAAAAUACUGGAGGAAGAAAGGAGAAGAAAGUUUCAUGGUUAGACUUUCAGUUUCUGCAACCUUGAGCUGUGCCUUAUAUGUACAAGGACACAGAGUGUGUACGAGUCUAUCUUGUGUAAUCAGCACAAACUUUGAAAUUGAUUGGAAGCUCUCAGUAAGUUUGAUGUUUUAAAGGGGAUAUAGAAUUCACUAGUUUCAGAAUACUAGGCUAAGUCAGUAGCAUUGGACAUUCUAGGCUUAUCCUGAAAUAAAAUAGAUGGAGAAAAUACCUGUGAUUUUUCAGUUGAAUGAGUAUAUAAUGAUCUCCUACUACUCUUUCCGAGGAUUUCAAUGGACAGACAAUUUCUGCCAUAGGAAUACUUUCUCAAAAGAUUUUAUCUUUCUGUGGUACAGGAUGUUACUUUUUUUAUGCAUUACUUAUCCCAGGGGUAUCUGCAUUGGUAGGUAUUUUGGAAUGUGAAGUGUGGUUUUGUACUUCUGCCUGCAGGAAUACUGAGGAGAUGUAGCUGAAGAGGUAUUUUCAAUUUGGUGCUGAUCCAGAUUGAAAAAAAAAAAAACUUGCUAAAGAGACUAAGCUCAGAAUUUUAAAAGUUCAUUUUUAAUCUGAAUAUCCUGCCAGGCACUAAACAUGUUGGCUCAAGUAGAAAAGAGCAAUUGCUGUCAUGAAACCAUAAAGCUAGAAAGAACCAGGAUUUUGCAGUAGGUUUCCACGUCUUGCAGAUAUGUAACUGAAGUCUGCAUAUAUUAAAACAAAUUUUUCCAAAGACAUAAUGAUUAUGUGUAAUAUUUCUUUCCAAAUAAUUUUAAGAUAAAUAUAGAGCUAGAAUACCCAACUGAUCUUCGACAUAACCACACACAUGUAUUCAACUACUUCAAAUACUUACCAGGUUAUUGUUCCUAUAGCUUUAUCUAUGGCUACUUAUCAUUUAUCCUAUAUAAAUAGAGUUUUUUAGGGUAAGAGGAUGGUAUUAAGGAGGCAUGUGUUAUUGAGGAGAUGCCCUUUUUACUUUACAAGGAACUCGUUAUGACUCUUGCCCUAAAGAACUUCACAAAAACAAAACAAAUAUUUAAGUUAAUGUGAUUAAAUAAAAUAAUGAUGAUCAUGCAUCUAAAGUUUCACACAAAGGUUUCAGUGACUUAGGUGAUCACAUAUUCUUUGUUUUAAAAGGCAAGGACUAAUUAUUUCUUUUGGGCACUCCAUCUGCAAUUUGGUUUGCUGUCUCUAGGAAAGUGGUUCUCCAAGUAUGGUCCUCUGCUCCCCAUGAGGAGCAUUAGUAGUGCCUGGGAACUUGUUAGAUAUGCAAAUGCUAUAGCCCACUCCAGACUUACUAAAUCAGAAACUUGAGGAUGGUGAGGUAUGAGCUCAGAACUCUGUUUUUCUAGCCCUUCUAGUGGUUUUGAUGCCCAUUCAAGUUUGAGAACCCUUGUUCUGGGAGAACCAUGGUAUUGGUUUAUGAGAACAGAUUCUGCUAACUUUAAUAUUUUAAACUUUUUUCUUUUUUGCUAAAUUUUUCUGGGUAGAGUGAUCUUGACAAGGUUUAAAUCAUUUGAAGACUUUUCCCUUUUCACCUUAAAAUUUUUUUUUUUUAUUUUGUGGAUUCAAAGAUUGCUUUCU